RNAcentral lists this transfer RNA (87 nucleotides) under Bacillota bacterium. RNAcentral describes it as "tRNA-Leu". It matches the Rfam family "tRNA". Rfam says of the family: Transfer RNA (tRNA) molecules are approximately 80 nucleotides in length. Their secondary structure includes four short double-helical elements and three loops (D, anti-codon, and T loops). Further hydrogen bonds mediate the characteristic L-shaped molecular structure. tRNAs have two regions of fundamental functional importance: the anti-codon, which is responsible for specific mRNA codon recognition, and the 3' end, to which the tRNAs corresponding amino acid is attached (by aminoacyl-tRNA synthetases). tRNAs cope with the degeneracy of the genetic code in two manners: having more than one tRNA (with a specific anti-codon) for a particular amino acid; and 'wobble' base-pairing, i.e. permitting non-standard base-pairing at the 3rd anti-codon position. The record is from RNAcentral. Lineage: Bacteria; Bacillati; Bacillota.
GCCGAAGUGAUGAAAUUGGCAGACGUACUGGACUCAAAAUCCAGCGGUAGUGAUACCAUGUCGGUUCGAGUCCGACCUUCGGCACCA